CGGGUUAAAGCCAAGUAGGUUAGGCACCUCAUUUGGGAUGAGGCAUUGUUAUGUUCAAAUCAUAAUAACCCGA
Molecule: non-coding RNA, 73 nt
Organism: Viridothelium virens
Lineage: Eukaryota; Fungi; Ascomycota; Dothideomycetes; Trypetheliales; Trypetheliaceae
Source: the annotation of a GenBank genome assembly